CCGGGCGUAGUGCAUGGGGCACAGCGAGUAUUCUUAUGAGAUUAUUGAUGCUGAACACGCAGUCCGGGGUUCGAUUCCCCGCGUCCGAA
Molecule: non-coding RNA, 89 nt
Organism: Mycena polygramma
Lineage: Eukaryota; Fungi; Basidiomycota; Agaricomycetes; Agaricales; Mycenaceae
Source: the annotation of a GenBank genome assembly